Long non-coding RNA from Gasterosteus aculeatus aculeatus (three-spined stickleback), 2443 nucleotides. NCBI's taxonomy places the organism in Eukaryota, Metazoa, Chordata, Actinopteri, Perciformes, Gasterosteidae. The record is from Ensembl.
CUCAGCUCUCCGAUUAGCUCUCACAUGCAGGAGUGACGCUUCAUUUCUGCUUGACGGUUGGGGUUUUAAACACAUUAUGAAGGGCGAGAUUUCCCGUCGUUAUUUUACCUCCAGCUCUUUAAGCACCUCGUCUCCGACACCAUUUCUGACAAUAACCGCGUGGUAAUGCGCGGCCUCGUGGCAUCUCGCGGCUUUCCAUUUUAGCAAAGAGCGGGUUUUGGGGGGAGGGAGGCGACGUUCGCCCCUGUUAGCUCACUAAUGGGUUUUGUCAGUGGGGUAUCUGUCAGAAAUAAUGCAUUUAUAAUGCAGGUCACUUAUUGGGGGGGGGGCGGCUGUCGAUAGCGACCCCCACCCCCCUCGCCCCCCCCCUCGACGAGUCAUGCAAAUAGCCCUCGGAUUUGAUGUUCAGACGUCAGCUUCCCGUUGACCAAGAAGGUGAACUUUGAGCUUUUCUUCGCUCAAGGAAAAAGAAAACGUCUCCUUUUCUUCAUUUAUCGGUUACGCUGAGGAAGUGCUCUCCUUUAGGAAUCCACCCGCCGCUGAGAUUUUUCAACGUGAAAUGGCAAGUGAUUUUGUGUAGAGUAGAAUAUAAAAACUGUGACCAGCUUCGCCUUAUUACGAAUACUGUAAAUGCCCCACGAUCCGCUUUUUAGAACGUUCCGUCAGAGGCGCAAGUGGUUUAAGUGUUACACGUCUGUUAUAGUCAAACAGGGCAGGUCUGCCUGAGUCCGUGUCGGUAUUUUUGAAGCUGUUGUCCUCAGUUUUAUUUCUGCGAUUGUGCGGAUCCGCAGGAAACUUUUCAGAAAGUUUUGAAUUUCUAUCCUUUUUUUAUGAUUACCGUUAUUGUGAAUGUUGCGUUUUGGAGUCCAGCGAUUCUUUUCAUCGUGGCCUCUGUGUUGCUAAAGCUUGCUAAAGUUGUACUUCUGACUGACUCUUCGAGCUACCUCCCCCCCUCCCUCUCACUAUGACGGAGUCCAGAGCCGUGGGCGACCCCAACGAGGUCAAGGGUCGUAUUUGGGGCCGAAAAUGGAUUUCCCACGUGUGUCCGCAGGAGUGUGAAUGAGCACGUGACGAAGGAGCACUCUGGUAACGUGGAAUUAAGAUAUGAAGUCACAUCACAAUAUUCUCUCUCUGGCGUUUGCUCUCAUUCAUUCGUAGAAACUCCUCUCAGCUGCUUUUAGCUUCCAGCUGUUUUGGCUUUAAUAAGCGCUUAUUGUAUUCAAGGAAUAUGUAAAGCUCCCUCUUGCAUCAGAGCCGCUGGGGGGGGGGGGUAAAUAACGCUCAGCUGUCACUUUCUCACGUCCGUCAGGAGGCGAUAAAGAUGAAUUAGGAAAGGCAAACACCAAAAGACGCCUUCUGAAAGCUGACGAGCUCAUUGUGAAUAUUUUUGACAAACGUCCCCAAAAGGAUCCAGAUCAACUUAUUUCGUCCGAUUUAAUCAAUUUCUUCAUUUUCCCCUUCGUCGGGACAAAGGUUCGAACUGUCAUCUACUGUAUCUGCUUCAUGCAUCGGCUUCAGUAUUCCUUGCUGUUGUUUUUUUUUAGUCGGAAACUGUGAGGUUUAUUCCCGCUUGGCGUCCUGUGGAAGCCGACCGAUCGUGAUCCACAACAUGAAGCAAAGAGUUUGGUGAAAAAAAAAAAAAAGAAAUCAGUCAAGCUUGAAGGCCGAUCUGACCGCGGGUUCGACUCCCACUUUCGGUCCGGUCGGGCCUCCACAGGCACAGACGAAAGUUACGGCCGGCCUCUGACGUGAGCACACUUCAGGGGCCGUGGGUAAUUGAGAUAUUUUUCUUUUUCUUUCCCGGCAGAAGGAAAUCACAGAGAGGGAGAGAAACGCGAGGCCGGAUCUCACACUUCAUCAGUUAAAUGAUGCUGAACCAUGUUUAGUGAAAAGGAGGAGACCUCUGACUGAUGUUAGACUUAAAUAUACAUUUUGCAGCUCUCUGCCCAUUUGCGUGAAACACAUUAAAUAAAAAAAUAAAAAAGAUAGUAUGCAGUUUCCUGUCUUCUAUCAGCAUAAUUGUCUCUGAACUCAGUCGUGGCGCUGGUGCAAUCGUUCUUGGUGACGCUGUAAAAAAAUAAAACGCAAAUGAUUCAUUUCCUGUGAGCUACUAUGAUGUGAAAUGGGCAGAGUAGAAGCAGAACAUGAUACAAUAAGAUGCCGUCAUUUCCUCUCUUUUUUUUUCUUCUGCGUUGUCACUUUACCUUGAUCCCAGCCUCUGGAUUUUUUUUUCUUAAUGUUUUUUUCUCGCUGAUGUUUUUUCGCCUCGGCCGCCAUCUUGAAUGUUGAGUAUUUCUGAUCGUGUGCUGUUGUCACUUGCAAAGCAGUGUUCGCUAUCAAGGAGGGAAAAGUACUCUUUAUGUUUGCUAUCCUGAGUACGUCCACAUUCCUAUUGUUCAUGACAUCUGUACAAUUUGUAUAUUAUAAAAUGAUUUAUAUUUAA